This 465-nucleotide ribosomal RNA is filed under the name uncultured bacterium. Its description in RNAcentral is "partial 16S ribosomal RNA". It matches the Rfam family "Bacterial small subunit ribosomal RNA", at positions 338 to 795 of the family's 1533-position model. The record is from RNAcentral.
CCUACGGGUGGCAGCAGUGGGGAAUAUUGCUCAAUGGGCGAAAGCCUGAAGCAGCGACGCCGCGUGAGGGAUGAAGGUCUUCGGAUCGUAAACCUCUUUCAGCAGGGAAGAAAGGUCACUGUGCUAAUAAGCAGUGUAUUGACGGUACCUGCAAAGGAAGCACCGGCUAACUCCGUGCCAGCAGCCGCGGUAAUACGGAGGGUGCGAGCGUUAAUCGGAAUUACUGGGCGUAAAGCGCUCGUAGGCGGUAUGUCAAGUCAGAGGUGAAAUCCCCGGGCUCAACGUGGGAACUGCCUUUGAAACUGGCUAGCUGGAGUGCGUGGGAGGGUAGUGGAAGUCCAGGUGGAGCAGUGAAAUCCGUAGAUAUCUGGAAGAACAUCGGUGGCGAAGGCAGCUUUCUGGCACGUAACUGACGCUGAGGCGCGAAAGCGUGGGUAGCAAACAGGAUUAGAUACCCGAGUAGUC